This is an RNA transcript of Anopheles merus, 5553 nucleotides long. It is a transcript of the gene named sperm-associated antigen 7 homolog, with no coding region annotated. The record is from RefSeq and is a predicted model, not a curated record. NCBI's taxonomy places the organism in Eukaryota, Metazoa, Arthropoda, Insecta, Diptera, Culicidae. The transcript is spliced from 7 exons.
CCACCUUGGGUGUGUCUGUCAGUGACAUCAAAAAAUCCCAAAAAUCAUCCUGCAACGUAAAUACUUCAUCCUAAAACUUGUUAAGCUGUUUGGUUUAUUGGCAAAACGGUAGAAUGGACCUUCUAAGUUCAAUAUUGGGAUCAAUGGAUCGACCUCCAUCAAAGCAACAAAAGGACACUAACAUUUAUGAAAAACAAAGAAAGGAUUAUGAAUGCGUGAAAAACAGGCAACGUGAGGAUUUAAAUCGAUUUCGAACGUAUGUAGAAGAACGCUUAGGGCGAUUUAUAAAGGAUGAAAAUUUGCAUAAUGUAGAGUUUCAAUCGAUGGAUAAAGUACACCGAUCCAUUGUGCAUGAUGUAUCUGAAACGGCUGGACUUACAGGAAUGAGUUUUGGAAUGCAAGGCGAACGAUAUAUUGUAGUGUACAAAAAAGAGCAUCUUCCAUGUGAAGAUGAGCUGAAUGCUCGAAAAAACGGUGAAGUCUGGACCAAAGAAACUGCUGCACAGUAUGCCGAACAACGUCGAUUAAAACAAUUGAAGCAAUUGGGUGAUACAAAUGAUUUACACAUAACGAGGGCUGAAAAGUUUAGACCAGUUUUUAGCUGCACCAAGAAAUACAUGCAACUUUUCAGUGAAGAAGUGAAAAUGGACAAUGUUCGAAAAACUGAAAUCAAUGCAUCAUAUGGAUAUGUGCCUAGUGCAAACAAAAAAGACGUACGUUCCAUUGAACAAACAAUGGCAGACAUACUAGCGAAGAAACGACUUAAAACUCACCAUGCAGAACUUGAUGAAGAGCCAUAUUCGACUGAAGUAUCAUCGGAGGCAUCAAGACACAUCCCAGGCGCCACAGAUUAAGCUUAAACGACUCAAAUCCAAUGGUAGCGGCACACGAUUCGAUCGUAGUAGCAUAUGAUUCGACCAUAGUGGAACGCGAUUCAACCGUGCUGAGGAAAUGUUCGGCUGCCCCAUCAGGACAGCACUGGAGCUGUUGCUGCCCCCAUCAUCACACUCAUUAUCUCCAUCCUCAUUUAUUUCAGUGCGAAGUGUUAUGGGCCAAUCUGAUGGUCCCCUAGAUCGCCACCGACGACACUCAUCGGGCGUAGAUCGAAGUGUGUGUGCGAUCUAUCGGGAGGUCAGCGAACGCGCGCUCGGCACGAUGCGUGAGUGCCGAUCGGGUGAGAGAGAAAGAUAUGGCGCGCGCUUGAGAAAGGUCGUGGUAACAAAGUGGUAGUAAAAUCGUUUAUGAGUAAUUAAUAAUAAACAAGGACUUUUCAAUCACAUCGUUUUUGAAGGAAGUAACGCGUUAACGUUUCUUAGCGUUCUUCGAAAGAAAACGAAAAUAUAACACGAAGUUUUCAACCUGGCGAGCUCGUUUCUACAAAAUCUUUUAAUAGAAACUCAUAGAAGUGGAUACCGGGAAAGAUUGUUCGUAGCUGUGGACGCGUUAUGUAUGACAUCACUGCGAACGAUGGACGUUUACUUCGGCGCCACAUAAGCCAAAUCAGGCGUCGUGCGGUAGCCCUUGCACCUGAGGGACAUCAGCUGCCGCUUGAUGUACUGUUAGCGGAAUGGUCUUCUUCUUCUUCCCGACCAGAGCCAAUCCAGCCGGAGAUGGAACCAAGCAUAAGCGAGCCAACAGCGUUCCACCGUCAUCGCCCGCUUAUUCAUCACUAGCAGCGACGACCCCGAUGGAUGUACCUUUCACGACAUCCAGCUCGCUACAUCCUGCCGAUCUCGACAACCGUGACGGUAGGACCGACCAAUAGAUUUGCCACGCAGGUCUUCUCGAGUAAGAAGACUUCCGCGUCGGCUCGGAGCCUAUCAACUCAUUUAGCCGGUCCACCGAGACUGCAGCCUCUUCGUACACUCGAUGCUUUCCGGGAACUGACAGCGUUCGAUGUGUAGCGAAUAUAGUCGUCUCUCUCUUUCUCUCUCUCUCGUGCAUGAUCCAUUACGAUCGGGGAUCCUACGAUAUAACGGACACUCGGGAUUUGGGUAAAAGAUUUUUUGGUAAAAGAGUUUUUAAGGCCUCCCCUAUGGCAAUCAAAGCAGCCCUGACAAGAAAAACGAGAUAGUGUGCGGUUGAUCGGUCAUGUAAUCUGUCAAAUAUUCAAAAAAUAAAGUUUGUUUACAUUUUGAACCGAACGAUAGCUCUCACGAUGUACAAAGGCGAGUGAUUUAAAAAAGCAUACAUCGGUGAUGAAAGUGUUGUGUGUAAUGUGUAAAAUAAACAGCCGAAAAAUUAUAAAUGGCGGUAGAAUCGACUUCGCACGCCUGAAAGCAGUUUAGGGUAAGUAAAGCAUAGCCAAUAAUUGUAAUAUUAAAUCAAUUAAAGCGGUGUUUUCUAUGCAGCUGUUGUGCAACCGUGUUGAGCCGGCGAACGUUCGAAAGAGGGAAGAAAGAAUGCCGGCAAUCCAACUAAACGAUGUUCGAUCAUGGAAAACAAGGUAAGUUGUAAUGAACGUAAGUAAGUAAUGAACGUAAUUCUUCCACCAGGCUUGCCAAAGUCAGCUUACUUGCAGCUUCUCCUUGUUCAACAACUGCAGUUUCAUCAGCUUCCAGUUUAGAAAUCAAUCUAGCUCGGAUGUCCGCAUCCCGUGGCGAUUGGUGUUUGUUGACCAUGGCAGCAUAUGAAGUAAAAUCAUCCGCAUCACUCUUGGCGUACUGCAGGCACUGGUAACGGGAGUGAAAAACCGACUUCUGGCGACCAAACAACUUCUUUAGUUUUGUAAUGGUCUCAUCCAGAGAGAAAUCGCGAGGAUGCUUUGGCAGAAUAGCAAAUUGGCAUUGGCUUUGGCAUCAAAGAAAACUCCUGCGUCCGGAUCGUACAGGAAAUCUUCGUACUCGAUGGUCUACUCGCUUCGUACUCGAUCGUACUCGAUGGUCUUCUCGCUUCCGCUAGCCGCCGUCGAAAAAGUUCGAUUUGCUAAAUUUUCGAUCUGGUGCUGCUGCUUCGCGACGAGAUUCGCCAACUUGCUCGUUUGGUGGUUAACUUAGAACUUAUUUAUUACUAAAGAAGGCAUAGGCUACUAUGCCUAGGAAGCGAAAUUAUGCUGAGGCAAAAUCCUACUAAUUGGUAGUCAUAGCCUACUACACAAAGCCCGCUCGCCAUUGGACGCUUGGACAAUUCCUUUUACAAGCAUUCGGUGACCAGUUUGCGAAACGUCUUGCCGCACGCCUGGUACAGGCCCUUCUUGUCCGUCCCGGCAUCGAUCGUGGACUGAUCGUUCGGGAGCGUCAGCAUCAUCACCUUCAUCUGCGGGUAGUUGUGGUACGGCGCAGUUCCGGUCGCCAUCUCGAUCGCGGUAAAGCCGAACGACUAGAAGCCGUAUCCGUGGUCCCGCUCCAUCUCCUCCGGCGCGAUCCAGCACGACGUGCCGAUAAACGUGUGGUACACCUUCUGCCGCGACAUGUCUCCAUCGGUGGCGAGCCACGCGCUCAUCCGCUAUAUUUAAGGAGCAGUCGUCGCCGGGCAGUAGGAUGGCCACCUUGAUGUCCACGUAAUGGGCAAUGCGAAAUGUGCACUCAAUUGGCAAGCGCACAACAAGAUCCAGCAAACGUUACCGACAGUCUUUGUCGCCGUGAAAAUGCUUCUAAUGCACGGGUGAGUUGGAUUUAUAACUACAAGCAUACGUUUUUUCUUUCUUUAGUUUCAGCUAAUGCCAGACGAACGAUCGAAUGACUGUUGCCUCGGAAGGGAGGUCUCAUCUCUGACUUGGAUGUGAUGGCACCGAGUCGAUUGGUCGCAGUUGGCCCUGGUGCUUUGAAUGAGGCGACAUCGGAGAAGCUGAACGCUUCGUGGACGUGUUGUGUUUAGAUUAGGAGCGGGCGUGUUGUGUGCAGAUCUCGAUCGGCGAAGUGCUGUAGUGAUAUUGUGUAGUGAUUGUGUCUAUAUGUAUGUUUUAAGUGUGAUUGCAUUAGUUUUAUGCAACUAAAUCAUGAGCACCGGUUUCUGUAUUGAAUACUUCGAAAGUAUUUGUACAAGUGUACAAAAUACAGUGUAAAUGAUGAUGAACUAGUUUCAUUUAAAGGUGUCGAACUUUGUACGUUAUAGUAGGUCAUUUGUUUUUGUGUGGUGUGUAAACAUUAAGUAAGAUUGAUCCCAGUGCUAGAGUGAAUUCUUUGCUGAAUAAAAUAGUGUACAAAUAUUGUUUUAAAAAACUGUGUGUUUUGUGUAUUUUUCGGUAGCAAAAAAAUAUCACUAAAGUGCAAAAAGGUAAGAAGGAAAUUUCUCAGCUACGAUGUUCUCCUUUUUUUUUGGCCUGAUGUAUUCGCUUCCGCAUUCUUCAUAAUGUGCAUAUAAAUGAUUGUUCCUAUGUUCCGCCAACAAUGUGUUUGAGACGAUGCAGUUGCAUAAUGUGAACAAAACGAUAAUGUGUAAAUAUGAUGAUGUAAUUUCCCUGCCUGGUUGCCUGGCUGGCUGAGUGGAUGGCAGAAUGGCUCACUGGCUGGUUAGUGCUGACUAAAAUCGGAUGCGCUUGGCCCCUCGCCAGAGUGCCGGGUGCAUCAUACAUUGGUGUUCCGUUGCUAGUGCUCGGCUGAGCAGAUAUUUUGUAAUAUUUUAUCAUCGAAAACCCUCACCACUCAUUUCUUUCCUUUUUAUAAAUUGAAGUACAUAAAUCGGUCUAUCCGUUUAUAUCGGUUUCAUAAGCCUCUUCAAUCGUUCAAUGGUCAAUCAAUCAUGGUCAACACUCUUACACUUCUGACGAACGAAUGCCUGGUCGCUAGCUGCAGCUUCCCAUCGAUGUAGGCACUCGAUCUUCGAGGUUUUACUUCACCUGAUCUAGCCAUCGAAGCUGUGCUUCCUUGCUUCUAGUACCGAACUGAGUGCCGCUUUCGAACACCUUGCUGUUGGGGCACGAGUCUGGCAUCUUUACAACAUGUCCCAGCCACCGCAAACAGCCAUGUCCGAUGCGCCAUACGGCUUCAGUAAGCUCGUGGUUGAUCAUUCGCAUCCACACCCCAUGCUCGAAUGCACCGCUUAAGAUGAUCCGGAGGAUGUGUCGGCCGUCGUGUUUCGCCGCUGUCCUUUGCAUGCUGUAAAGUAACACACCUAUUCAUCGCAGCACGAGCGCAACGUGAUACAUCGUGACAUCAUCCGGAAAACUUGCAGCUGGGGCACGGUGGUGAUCUGAAGAUUGCCGAUUUCGGUUGGUCCGUGCACGAGCCGACCUUGUUCCGGUACGACGCUGUGCGUUUCGCUCGGCUAUUUAUCGCCCGAGAUGGUGCAUGGUCAGCCGCACAUAAAAACUGUCGAUCUAUCGAAUUUGGGCGUGCUGGCGUACAAGCUGCUGUGCGGUAAGGUCCCGGUUUUGGCGACCACGUAUGAGGAAACGUACUAUAAAAUCAUGAAGCUGCAGUUUAAGAUGCCGCCAGAUAUGACGAAGCCGGCGGCCCAUCUGAUCUCGCGACUGUUCGUUAAGGAUCUGGCCAGCCGUAUGCCGCUGAAACAUGUUGCGUCCAUCCCUGGAUACUGGUGCACGUGCACAAAAAAUAAAUAGGAAUUGCUGCUACCAUGUACCAUUUAUCGUUUUGUUCUCACUAAGUAUGUUUA